GCCUUCCUACAUUAAUGGAACCUGGAUGGCCAAAUUCUGGGUGUUAGCAGGGCCCAAACACUGUUUGACUAAGGUGGAGUCCCAGCACCUGCUGUGCAAUAUAAGGAAGAGCCUGAGGGGUGGAAGUCAGCAGUUGCUGGCACUGCAUUUGCCUCACAGUUGCUCCAGAGAGACUGUGCUGUCCGCCGUCCCCUCUGCCACCCUCCAUCCUGCAGACUCUUGGUGCCGAACCUGCAGGAGCAGCUCAGUCCCGGCUCAGCCUCUUGCAAGGACACUGCUGA
This 281-nucleotide long non-coding RNA is filed under the name Heterocephalus glaber (naked mole-rat). RNAcentral's name for it is "lncRNA (ENSHGLG00100039281.1)". The record is from RNAcentral. Lineage: Eukaryota; Metazoa; Chordata; Mammalia; Rodentia; Bathyergidae.